UGGUCAUGGCUAGGACUGUGUCCAUUUCUGCUGCUCCUUUGUAUUUUUCUCUCUUGGGCAAGAACACUAAGGCUGUAGGCAGACAUCAUCUUCCCAGCACUCCCUUCCCAGAAACUUCUGCUUCUUGAGAUGUGCCUGUGUGAGUACAUCCUCAGCCUGUCUCAAAGCCAGGUGGAUUCACUUUAAGAUGUUCUAUAGUAGGUCUUUUGAUAAUCUGCUGCUUUGAGGCAGAGAGUGAUGAUGAACCUCUCCCACCAGCACAUCUGGAUUCAGCAAAGGGUGGGUGUCCUGAGCUAAAGUUACCUUACAGUGGUAAUUCCUGGUAUCAGAGUGUUUGGUUUCUAUGCCAAAAGUAUGCGUGUGAAGAUGAACUUUGCAGUAUAAAUUUUUUUGUCUUCCAAAUGUAAAAAUGAGUUGUUUUGGAAAACAGAUGGUUGUAUUUAAGUUAUCUAAGACCUUCUAGAGUGGGUUGACUUUUAUACUUAGUUUUGAAAGAGUCCUAUACUUCAUUUUUUCAUAAUAGCCUUAAAUUUCAGUGAAAGCAAACCUCUGUGCUUUUGAAAAGUGCAGCAGGCUACAAAUGCGGGAGGAAGGGGAAGGAAGAGGAGAUUUUAAGUAUUCUUCAGAAUUUAUAAAGCUCCUGCAGGCUGGUGUGAGACGAACCAAACCUGACGUUUGGGGAGCGGCGGAGUCUGGAGCCGUGGGACGCCUUGGGAACAGCGUAAAACACGCUGCUUGUAGUGGCGUCCUGUGACCGAGUCCUCCUGAAGGUCUGGGGGUGCGUUUUAGGGAUCUUAUCCAGAGACGUGGCCCACAGCUGGAUUACCGUGCCCAUCUAGUUCUGAUGGUGCUUCAAAGACUUAACUUCUGACAAACUUGAUCAAGCCGGCGAAUUUAAUUCAGCUCCUCUGUUGAG
Molecule: long non-coding RNA, 916 nt
Filed under: Buteo japonicus
Lineage: Eukaryota; Metazoa; Chordata; Aves; Accipitriformes; Accipitridae
Description: lncRNA (ENSBJAG00000004211.1)
Source: RNAcentral